CCACAAUGGACGAAAGUCUGAUGGAGCGACGCCGCGUGCGGGAUGAAGGCCUUAUGGGUUGUAAACCGCUGUCAGGGGGGAAGAACAUCGGAAUGAACAAUACUCAUUCCGACUGACGUUACCCCAGAGGAAGCUCCGGCCAACCUCCGUGCCAGCAGCCGCGGUAAUACGGGGGGAGCAAGCGUUGUCCGGAAUUAUUGGGCGUAAAGGGCGUGUAGGCGGCGAGGUAAGUCGAAUGUGAAAUCUCACGGCUCAACCGUGAAACUGCGUUCGAAACUACCCUGCUUGAGUACGGGAGAGGUGUACGG
Molecule: ribosomal RNA, 308 nt
Filed under: uncultured microorganism
Description: bacterial SSU rRNA
Rfam family: Bacterial small subunit ribosomal RNA
Source: RNAcentral